UUAAUUGCAUCGAUCAAGAUUAGUAGUGCUGUUGGUCUUUUAUAGAGAGGGUUAGUUUGGUGGAAUAACUUAAAGAUCAGGCAUGAAUUUCAUCUUGGGAGCAGAAUCUAAUCAAUUCCGGUAUUUCCCCGUUAAAAGAAAAAAGUGUGAACACGCACUUUUAUUAGUUUGUGUUCAAACUAGGGUGGUACCGCGAAGCUUCGUCCCUUUU
RNAcentral lists this non-coding RNA (211 nucleotides) under Lactobacillus hominis. RNAcentral's name for it is "T-box sequence". It matches the Rfam family "T-box leader". From Rfam's summary of the family: Uncharged tRNA acts as the effector for transcription antitermination of genes in the T-box leader family. T-boxes are found upstream of many aminoacyl-tRNA synthetase genes and some amino acid biosynthetic genes usually in Gram-positive bacteria. The anticodon of a specific tRNA base pairs to a specifier sequence within the T-box motif, and the NCCA acceptor tail of the tRNA base pairs to a conserved bulge in the T-box antiterminator hairpin. The record is from RNAcentral. Lineage: Bacteria; Bacillati; Bacillota; Bacilli; Lactobacillales; Lactobacillaceae.